Long non-coding RNA from Mesocricetus auratus (golden hamster), 470 nucleotides. RefSeq lists it as uncharacterized. The transcript is spliced from 3 exons. NCBI's taxonomy places the organism in Eukaryota, Metazoa, Chordata, Mammalia, Rodentia, Cricetidae. The record is from RefSeq and is a predicted model, not a curated record.
GCCGCCCCGCCUGCCCGCACCCUCCCCGCUGCCCGGAUUGUGAAGUGCGCAGAACCAUCCUCAGCCUCGUGGGCGUGCGCCAGGACCCUGUUUGCCUCACCGUGAUACACAGCAAGGAAGGGAUGCCAGACACAGUGCAACCCUAAGGCACAACUAUGUUUGUUUAUGAUAUGGGAGAAAGAAGAAUUAUAUUCUAAUAAACAAAUGUUCUUGAAAACGUUUCUACGCUACAGCACGUGUGCAGUGGACAGAAGUUUCUAGGAAAGAUCCACCCUCUUAAAUCUAUCAAAGAAAAGACAAGACUGAGUUAUCAGCAUACCUGUCCAUAAACUGUAAGACGAAAUCUUCAAAUUCAGCUGUGGCCGAACAAAGUUCUUUUUCGAUCUAUAACAUUGCAAUGUGCAAAAAAAAUUACAAAUAUGUUUUAACUUUUUUCCUUCUGAACUAAUAAAAUUCAAUUAUGGCCUAAU